This 90-nucleotide transfer RNA is filed under the name Chloroflexota bacterium. Its description in RNAcentral is "tRNA-Ser". It matches the Rfam family "tRNA". Rfam says of the family: Transfer RNA (tRNA) molecules are approximately 80 nucleotides in length. RNAcentral also lists the same sequence under 1 other name. Lineage: Bacteria; Bacillati; Chloroflexota. The record is from RNAcentral.
GGAGGAGUGCUCGAGUGGUUUAAGGGAACGGUCUUGAAAACCGUCGUGGCGCAUGCGUCACCGUGGGUUCGAAUCCCACCUCCUCCGCCA